This 253-nucleotide ribosomal RNA is filed under the name uncultured bacterium. Its description in RNAcentral is "partial 16S ribosomal RNA". It matches the Rfam family "Bacterial small subunit ribosomal RNA", at positions 524 to 776 of the family's 1533-position model. The record is from RNAcentral.
UACAGAGGGUGCGAGCGUUAAUCGGAAUGACUGGGCGUAAAGCGCGCGUAGGCGGUUAUACAAGUUGGGUGUGAAAUCCCUGGGCUUAACCUAGGAAUUGCAUUCAAAACUAUAUGACUUGAGUGAAGUAGAGGUGAGUGGAAUUUCCGGAGUAGCGGUGAAAUGCGUAGAUACCGGAAGGAACACCAGUGGCGAAGGCGACUCACUGGGCUUUAACUGACGCUGAGGUGCGAAAGCGUGGGGAGCAAACAGG